This 301-nucleotide ribosomal RNA is filed under the name uncultured bacterium. Its description in RNAcentral is "partial 16S ribosomal RNA". It matches the Rfam family "Bacterial small subunit ribosomal RNA", at positions 509 to 807 of the family's 1533-position model. The record is from RNAcentral.
CAGUAGCCACGGGAAUACGUAGGGUGCAAGCGUUAAUCGGAAUUACUGGGCGUAAAGCGUGCGCAGGCGGUUUGUUAAGACAGAUGUGAAAUCCCCGGGCUCAACCUGGGAACUGCAUUUGUGACUGGCAAGCUAGAGUGUGGCAGAGGGGGGUGGAAUUCCGCGUGUAGCAGUGAAAUGCGUAGAUAUGCGGAGUAACACCGAUGGCGAAGGCAGCCCCCUGGGCCAACACUGACGCUCAUGCACGAAAGCGUGGGGAGCAAACAGGAUUAGAUACCCCCGUAGUCCCUGUCUCUUAUAC